CAGUCGUUAGUGUUUACCAAACAUUUUAGUGCUUUAAGAUACAGUUGCUCAAUCUCAAUCCUAAACGCACUCAUAAUCAUAAUAAAUGCAUUUUGUUCUCAGAAAACUAAUCUUACUCAUAAGUCACAAAACAUGCGUUGCGCGGACACUUAGUUUUUCAACAAUUAUUUUCUAUAAGAACUGGCGUGGAUAGUGAUGCAUCACCCACUUUGAUCAUAAGAAGGUUAUAAAAACUCAAUUAUGACUCAUCAGUCAUCAUCUCGUGUAACAUAACACGUCUUACUCAAUGUGAUGCCUUUCAUAAAUUAAAACAACUUCUCUUAGGUUUUUCAUCAAGUAAUUAAUUAUAGCCAUGUUCGGUAUUCAAACAAAUAAUAAUUAAUGUCUAAAAUCAUGUGUCGUUAUCGACGAUUCAAUUAUUUUGAACAAGUCGCGAAUCUGGAUUAGGCUUUGAUAAGCAGUUGCUUCACAGAAACAAUUAAAAAAAUCAAAUGUUAAAAAUAUUAAUUGGUGGGGUGACCGAUAUCUUUCUAUCUCAUUCUUAAAGUCGA
This 551-nucleotide long non-coding RNA is filed under the name Citrus x clementina. Its description in RNAcentral is "Citrus clementina (C. clementina) long non-coding RNA (CCLE_LNC004431)". Lineage: Eukaryota; Viridiplantae; Streptophyta; Magnoliopsida; Sapindales; Rutaceae. The record is from RNAcentral.